AAAUCUCACAAAUGAAACAUUUUUUGUUUCAAAUUGUGGACUUGGAUUUGCGAUCCUUGGAUUGCUAAUCUGAAAUGAAUUUCAUGAAGCCUUAACUUGCUUUGAAUCUUUGCUUAAUAGUUUUGCUUUGUCAAAUCUUUUGCAAUUGAUUUCAAAAGCCAAAAAAGAAGUGGAUUGAUUUUUACGAAAUCUAAAAUCUCAUU
This 203-nucleotide unclassified non-coding RNA is filed under the name uncultured Mucoromycota. RNAcentral describes it as "sequence contains ITS2". The record is from RNAcentral. Lineage: Eukaryota; Fungi; Mucoromycota.